GUGAAAGUGUGGUGUGAGCUUCAUUUUCUUUCAAAAGUGCCGAACUGCAAUCAAGAGUAAUUUACAUAAAAGACAGCAGUUAUUUUUGUAAAAUUACUUCCUAAGAAGAGACCCUGUAGAAGAAACCACCAAUGUUCAUAGUCCCUUAUCUGGAGUAAGAUUUUCCAGUGGAUUCUCAAGGACAUAAGGUUUUCCUUGUAUGCAGAAGUUAUGGUGAGAAAUCAAGUAUGCAGAAGCAUCUAUCAUCACCUGCUUGGUAGAUCUGAAGAUGACAGGUAACUUGUCAACAUAUUGUCAACAUACACUUUCCUUUCCUUCCGCUGUAGCAGCCUGGCAGCUUCUGUACACACUUUAUUGUGCAGGUGCUUUCUUUUGGCAGACAUGUUCAGAUAAUAGAGCAAUCCAAUCAAAACAUCAGUGAGACUCCCUGACAGAACAUU
RNAcentral lists this long non-coding RNA (440 nucleotides) under Homo sapiens (human). RNAcentral describes it as "novel transcript". Lineage: Eukaryota; Metazoa; Chordata; Mammalia; Primates; Hominidae. The record is from RNAcentral.